Molecule: long non-coding RNA, 571 nt
Organism: Triticum aestivum (bread wheat)
Lineage: Eukaryota; Viridiplantae; Streptophyta; Magnoliopsida; Poales; Poaceae
Exons: 3
Source: RefSeq, a predicted model, not a curated record
CGGGAUGAAGAACAAUUCUGGAUUUUAUAUGCAUUUGAUAUUGAAAACUGUAGAGUGCAUGUUUUCUAUCCGAAAAGGGGGAACCGUCCAAUGUGGGUGCUGGAGAAAAAGCACAAGAAGUUAUGCUACAGAUUGAUCGAGGCUCUUUGUAGAUGUGUUUAUAGGUUCUUUGAUGGAUGGAAUAUCAAUGCGGAAUCAUUCAAGUUCAUCUAUCACACCUUCCUUGAGAAGGCCAGCAACAGAUUUGACAGUUCAUUCUACAUUGUUCAUUGCAUUAUGAAUUACAUGGGGACUGGUCUGGAACAUUGAUGUACUGAGGAUGGGUUGAAGAAGAUAAGGGAGUACAUCGUACACAUGGUGCUGACAAUGGAUGGUAAUAUUGGAGUACCGCCGAAAUCCAUAGUGAGUCCUACGAUGCUGGAAUGAAGUACUGAUUGCCCAAGAAGUUUUAAAUAUAAUGUAAUAUAUAACGCAUAUGUCGGAUGUUUUAUGUGGUUUUCUGCAAUCUAGUACUAUGUUAAAUGCAGUUGAAUUCUGAGAUGCAUCACUCUGGUGUUGUGUAUUUGUGGAA